Molecule: transfer RNA, 74 nt
Filed under: Schistocerca americana (American grasshopper)
Lineage: Eukaryota; Metazoa; Arthropoda; Insecta; Orthoptera; Acrididae
Description: tRNA-Thr
Rfam family: tRNA
About the family: Transfer RNA (tRNA) molecules are approximately 80 nucleotides in length. Their secondary structure includes four short double-helical elements and three loops (D, anti-codon, and T loops). Further hydrogen bonds mediate the characteristic L-shaped molecular structure. tRNAs have two regions of fundamental functional importance: the anti-codon, which is responsible for specific mRNA codon recognition, and the 3' end, to which the tRNAs corresponding amino acid is attached (by aminoacyl-tRNA synthetases). tRNAs cope with the degeneracy of the genetic code in two manners: having more than one tRNA (with a specific anti-codon) for a particular amino acid; and 'wobble' base-pairing, i.e. permitting non-standard base-pairing at the 3rd anti-codon position.
Source: RNAcentral
UCCUCGGUGGCUCAGAUGGAUAGAGCACCUGCCAUGUAAGCAGGAGGUCCCGGGUUCGACUCCCGGUUGGGGCA